RNAcentral lists this ribosomal RNA (376 nucleotides) under uncultured bacterium. RNAcentral describes it as "bacterial SSU rRNA". It matches the Rfam family "Bacterial small subunit ribosomal RNA", at positions 28 to 404 of the family's 1533-position model. The record is from RNAcentral.
GACGAACGCUGGCGGCGUGCUUAACACAUGCAAGUCGAGCGGUAAGGCCCUUUCGGGGGUACACGAGCGGCGAACGGGUGAGUAACACGUGGGUGACCUGCCCUCAGCUCUGGGAUAAGCCUGGGAAACCGGGUCUAAUACUGGAUAUGACUCCAUGACGCAUGUUGGUGGGGUGGAAAGCCUUGUGCGGCUGAGGAUGGGCCCGCGGCCUAUCAGCUUGUUGGUGGGGUGAUGGCCUACCAAGGCGACGACGGGUAGCCGGCCUGAGAGGGCGACCGGCCACACUGGGACUGAGACACGGCCCAGACUCCUACGGGAGGCAGCAGUGGGGAAUCUUGCGCAAUGGGCGAAAGCCUGACGCAGCGACGCCGCGUGA